Molecule: non-coding RNA, 99 nt
Organism: Paramuricea clavata
Lineage: Eukaryota; Metazoa; Cnidaria; Anthozoa; Malacalcyonacea; Plexauridae
Source: the annotation of a GenBank genome assembly
UGAUAAACAUGACUAUAGUCUUAACAGUCAUGACUAUAGUCUUAAUUGUCAUGACUAUAGUCUUGACUAUAGUCGUGAUUGUCAUGACUAUAAUCUUAA